AACAGGAUUAGAUACCCUGGUAGUCCAUGCCGUAAACGUUGGGAACUAGGUGUGGGUCUCAUUCCACGAGAUCCGUGCCGCAGCUAACGCAUUAAGUUCCCCGCCUGGGGAGUACGGCCGCAAGGCUAAAACUCAAAGGAAUUGACGGGGGCCCGCACAAGCGGCGGAGCAUGCGGAUUAAUUCGAUGCAACGCGAAGAACCUUACCAAGGCUUGACAUACACCGGAAACAUCCAGAGAUGGGUGCCCCGCAAGGUCGGUGUACAGGUGGUGCAUGGUUGUCGUCAGCUCGUGUCGUGAGAUGUUGGGUUAAGUCCCGCAACGAGCGCAACCCUCGUUCUAUGUUGCCAGCACGUGAUGGUGGGGACUCAUAGGAGACUGCCGGGGUCAACUCGGAGGAAGGUGGGGAUGACGUCAAAUCAUCAUGCCCCUUAUGUCUUGGGCUUCACGCAUGCUACAAUGGCCGGUACAAAGGGCUGCGAUACCGUAAGGUGGAGCGAAUCCCAAAAAACCGGUCUCAGUUCGGAUUGGGGUCUGCAACUCGACCCCAUGAAGUCGGAGUCGCUAGUAAUCGCAGAUCAGCAACGCUGCGGUGAAUACGUUCCCGGGCCUUGUACACACCGCCCGUCAAGUCACGAAAGUCGGUAACACCCGAAGCCGGUGGCCCAACCUCUUGAGGGGGGAGCCGUCGAAGGUGGGACUGGCGAUUGGGACUAAGUCGUAACAAGGUAACC
Molecule: ribosomal RNA, 733 nt
Filed under: uncultured bacterium
Lineage: Bacteria
Description: bacterial SSU rRNA
Rfam family: Bacterial small subunit ribosomal RNA
Source: RNAcentral